RNAcentral lists this ribosomal RNA (497 nucleotides) under uncultured bacterium. RNAcentral's name for it is "partial 16S ribosomal RNA". It matches the Rfam family "Bacterial small subunit ribosomal RNA", at positions 28 to 507 of the family's 1533-position model. The record is from RNAcentral.
GAUGAACGCUGGCGGCGUGCCUAAUACAUGCAAGUCGAGCGAACGGACGAGAAGCUUGCUUCUCUGAUGUUAGCGGCGGACGGGUGAGUAACACGUGGAUAACCUACCUAUAAGACUGGGAUAACUUCGGGAAACCGGAGCUAAUACCGGAUAAUAUUUUGAACCGCAUGGUUCAAAAGUGAAAGACGGUCUUGCUGUCACUUAUAGAUGGAUCCGCGCUGCAUUAGCUAGUUGGUAAGGUAACGGCUUACCAAGGCAACGAUGCAUAGCCGACCUGAGAGGGUGAACGGCCACACUGGAACUGAGACACGGUCCAGACUCCUACGGGAGGCAGCAGUAGGGAAUCUUCCGCAAAGGGCGAAAGCCUGACGGAGCAACGCCGCGUGAGUGAUGAAGGUCUUCGGAUCGUAAAACUCUGUUAUUAGGGAAGAACAUAUGUGUAAGUAACUGUGCACAUCUUGACGGUACCUAAUCAGAAAGCCACGGCUAACUACGUG